GGUGUGUCAUCUAUGGAAGCAUAA
This 24-nucleotide non-coding RNA is filed under the name Arabidopsis thaliana (thale cress). The record is from RNAcentral. Lineage: Eukaryota; Viridiplantae; Streptophyta; Magnoliopsida; Brassicales; Brassicaceae.